This is a small nucleolar RNA of Sorghum bicolor (sorghum), 107 nucleotides long. It matches the Rfam family "Plant small nucleolar RNA R71". From Rfam's summary of the family: R71 is a member of the C/D box family of snoRNAs containing the C (UGAUGA) and D (CUGA) box motifs. Multiple nearly identical copies of this snoRNA have been identified in Arabidopsis, and it is thought to function as a 2'-O-ribose methylation guide for 18S ribosomal RNA. The record is from Rfam. NCBI's taxonomy places the organism in Eukaryota, Viridiplantae, Streptophyta, Magnoliopsida, Poales, Poaceae.
AUCCGAUGAUGAGGACACUUGAGUAUGUAAUUUUGAAAGCGCUCCCAAGCUUCUAGGACUGUCUCAUCAUGUUGUUGCUGAAAACUCGAUAUCUUUCGACGUAGAGC